AUAGUCUGAGCAAUAACAUCUAUUGGCUUUCUAGGUUUCACUGUAUGAGCUCACCACAUGUUCACCUUGGGAAUAGAUAUUGAUACAUGAGCAUACUUCACAUCAGCUACCAUAAUCAUUGCUAUUUCCACAGGAAUAAAAAUAUUUAGCUGACUCACCACCCUUCAUGGAGUCAACAUUGAAUGAUCCCCCGCUAUACUAUGAGCCUUAGGCUUUAUUUUCCUAUUUACCAUAGGAGGCUUACCAGGCACUGUAUUAGCAAACUCUUCACUAGACAUUGCUCUUCAUGACACAUACUACAUAGGGCCCACUUUUAU
Herpailurus yagouaroundi (jaguarundi) is the source of this 317-nucleotide long non-coding RNA. RefSeq lists it as uncharacterized. NCBI's taxonomy places the organism in Eukaryota, Metazoa, Chordata, Mammalia, Carnivora, Felidae. The transcript is spliced from 3 exons. The record is from RefSeq and is a predicted model, not a curated record.